CCAAACCCAAUGUGAACGUUACCAAACUUGUUUGCCUCGGCGGGAUCUCUUGCCCCGGGUGCGUCGCAGCCCCGGACCAAGGCGCCCGCCGGUAGGACCAACCUAAAACUCUUAUUGUAUACCCCCUCGCGGGUUUUUUUAUAAUCUGAGCCUUUCUCGGCGCCUCUCGUAGGCGUUUCGAAAAUGAAUCAAAACUUUCAACAACGGAUCUCUUGGUUCUGGCAUCGAUGAAGAACGCAGCGAAAUGCGAUAAGUAAUGUGAAUUGCAGAAUUCAGUGAAUCAUCGAAUCUUUGAACGCACAUUGCGCCCGCCAGUAUUCUGGCGGGCAUGCCUGUCCGAGCGUCAUUUCAACCCUCGAACCCCUCCGGGGGGUCGGCGUUGGGGAUCGGCCCUCCCUUAGCGGGUGGCCGUCUCCGAAAUACAGUGGCGGUCUCGCCGCAGCCUCUCCUGCGCAGUAGUUUGCACACUCGCAUCGGGAGCGCGGCGCGUCCACAGCCGUUAAACACCCAACUUCUGAAAUGUUGACCUCGGAUCAGGUAGGAAUACCCGCUGAACUUAAGCAUAUCAAUAAGCGGAGGAAAAGAAACCAACAGGGAUUGCCCCAGUAACGGCGAGUGAAGCGGCAACAGCUCAAAUUUGAAAUCUGGUCCCUAGGGCCCGAGUUGUAAUUUGUAGAGGAUGCUUUUGGUGAGGUGCCGCCCGAGUUCCCUGGAACGGGACGCCACAGAGGGUGAGAGCCCCGUCUGGCUGGCCGCCGAGCCUCUGUAAAGCUCCUUCGACGAGUCGAGUAGUUUGGGAAUGCUGCUCAAAAUGGGAGGUAUAUGUCUUCUAAAGCUAAAUAUUGGCCAGAGACCGAUAGCGCACAAGUAGAGUGAUCGAAAGAUGAAAAGCACCUUGAAAAGAGGGUUAAAUAGUACGUGAAAUUGUUGAAAGGGAAGCGCUUGUGACCAGACUUGGGCGCGGCGGAUCAUCCGGGGUUCUCUCCGGUGCACUUCGCCGCGUCUAGGCCAGCAUCAGUUCGUCGCGGGGGAAAAAGGCUUCGGGAACGUGGCUCCUCCGGGAGUGUUAUAGCCCGUUGCAUAAUACCCUGCGGUGGACUGAGGACCGCGC
Molecule: small RNA, 1111 nt
Filed under: Trichoderma harzianum
Lineage: Eukaryota; Fungi; Ascomycota; Sordariomycetes; Hypocreales; Hypocreaceae
Description: eukaryotic LSU rRNA
Rfam family: Eukaryotic large subunit ribosomal RNA (bases 524-1111)
Source: RNAcentral